Molecule: ribosomal RNA, 789 nt
Filed under: uncultured archaeon
Lineage: Archaea
Description: bacterial SSU rRNA
Rfam family: Archaeal small subunit ribosomal RNA
Source: RNAcentral
ACGGCUCAGUAACACGUGGAUAACCUACCCUCAGGUGGGGGAUAACCCCGGGAAACUGGGGAUAAUACCCCAUAGACCAGGGACGCUGGAAUGCCCCUUGAUCGAAAGGUCCGCCGCCUGAGGAUGGGUCUGCGGCCGAUUAGGUUGUUGUUGGGGUAACGGCCCAACAAGCCUUUGAUCGGUACGGGUUGUGAGAGCAAGAGCCCGGAGAUGGAUUCUGAGACACAAAUCCAGGCCCUACGGGGCGCAGCAGGCGCGAAAACUUUACAAUGCGAGAAAUCGUGAUAAGGGAACCCCGAGUGCCCGUAAAUUCGGGCUGUCCAUCAGCGUAAAAAACUGGUGAAGAAAGGGCCGGGCAAGACCGGUGCCAGCCGCCGCGGUAAUACCGGCGGCUCGAGUGGUGGCCACUAUUACUGGGCUUAAAGCGUCCGUAGCUGGAUUGUUAAGUCUCUUGGGAAAUCCGCCGGCUUAACCGGCGGGCGUUCAGGAGAAACUGGCAAUCUAGGGACCGGGAGAGGUGAGAGGUACUCCAGGGGUAGGAGUGAAAUCCUGUAAUCCUUGGGGGACCACCUGUGGCGAAGGCGUCUCACUAGAACGGCUCCGACAGUGAGGGACGAAAGCUGGGGGAGCAAACCGGAUUAGAUACCCGGGUAGUCCCAGCUGUAAACGAUGCGCGUUAGGUGUAUCGGUGACCACGAGUCAUCGAGGUGCCGAAGGGAAACCGUGAAACGUGCCGCCUGGGAAGUACGGUCGCAAGGCUGAAACUUAAAGGAAUUGGCGGGGGAGCAC